UGUGUCUUUAAUUUGCAAGCUCUCAUUUCCGCAUUCGGGACUAUUUCUCCCGAGCCGGCUCUGCCCAAUGUUUUGCCAGGAAAGCAGCAAAACGAAGUCCCUUUACGGUCCCAGAUUUGGAUAAACGGCAUCCAUUUAUAAUCCCCCUUCUCAGAAGGAGAAUAGAAAGCAAAAGUCAGCAUUUCAGAAGAAAACUUUGAAGGGUGGAAAAACGUGGUGAAAGAGACGGUUGUAUAUUCGGUUUGCCAGGGACGAGAGUUGCGUUUGCUGAAGAUCUGCGACCGGCGACCUUUUAGCCGAUUGGAGAUCGGCCAGGUCGUUUGAGGUGUGUUAAUUUAUUUCUCCUCCCGCUGGAAGUCUGCUCUCCCUGCUUACUUAGUGGCGCUAUCGAUCUGCUACGACCGGACGAGAAAUAUUCUCAUGUCGUCUGCCUUAGAUAUGCUCGAGGCUUCUGAUAGGCAAGAAGGAUUGAAAGGUUUGCAUUAUCCAUAACAGUAAAAUACAGUGUCCUUAUUUUUUUUAAAAGUCAGAUUCCUGUUCCCAGAAACAUUCAUGUGCACAGAUAGAAUACUUCCAUUUCCCACUGAGAUGAAAACAGUGGUUCAUAAAAUUUACCGCACAGCUGGCAGUUUUUAAACCUGAGGCCUAAAUCACGACAAUGGAGUUAUUUGAGAUGUCUAUAUCUAGUGCCCCAGCACUCAAGAUUUGGACCCGAGAAGCCUUUCUGGGAAGGCAGUUCCAUAGCAAAGGUUCUCAAACUUUGCAACACCAUCACCCUCUGCAAUAAUAAAAUGAAUUUUUGCAACCCUUCCAUGAAUAAAGCUAAUGAUUUCACUGAGCUAAGUGAUUGGGCAAGAUAAAUACACCAUUUAUUUUAAUAAUUAAAUCUUAAUCAAUAUAUCAUAUAAAAGAAUCUUACAACUUCAUAAUAUAAAACUGUUUCAUUGGAAAUAAGCAACCCAAAAAUCCUCAAUAAAAUUUAAAUACAUAUUUUAAUGGGAAGGAGGAAGUUACUUUUGCAAAUUCCUGAAAUCUGGCUUUUAUUUUCAAGACAGACACUUAUUUUAUCAAAGUCAAAGGGAAAGGUAUUUCUUUACCAUAAAUCAGCUGUUCUUCAACUACUCUUAAAAUGCUUCAGUUUGCAAAAAAAGAUUACUUUUGGCAUCCUUUCUUCCAGUACAGCCACACAUUCACAGCCUUCACUGUCCUCUCCCCUUUGUAGAAGUUCCUCUGCGGAGUAAGCAUUACAUCAGAUGGUCAGAGCUUUGAAAGAAUCCAGAUAGGAUUACCCCUUUUCUGAAACGUAAAUGCCAGAGUGCUAAACUUCCCCAAAAGUAUACUCAAACUUCAUGCAGGGCUUGAACAUGCAGGGCAUUCCUUUGCAUGCAACAUACUUUUGCACUGAACUGGUUAACCUACCUGAAAAGCAGUGUGAGAAAGGCACUUUGGGGCCAUCCAUUGUCUUCUGACCCCCUGCUGGUCAUGUUUCACACUGAGAAACAUGCUAUACUAAGGGAAGGGGUGCGAGAGUAAAAGCAAAAACGGUAAGGGGAUUGAUUUGGUAAGUAAAAGGAAAGUUUACUUUCCUGGUAAACACUAUCCAGGAAAAUGUGUGGCAGAAUUCUGAUUGAAAGGGUAGAAGUGUCAGUAAGCAAAAUUUGUGAAGUGCAGGGCAGAUUUAUAUUGGGCAGGGGGUGUGUAGACCAGCUUUUGCUUUUUGGCAAGCUGUUGAGGAAUACACAAAUGUGAAAUGGAAUAUUUAUUGUGUAUUCAUUGAUUCAGCGAAAGUAUAUAGUAAAGUGAAGAGGCCUUUAAGUGAAUCAUCUCUUUCAUUUCUUUGGCCUACUACUUCUUACUCCUUUUCUGCACUUGGUGUAACACUACUUUUUGCCUGAAUAAUGUGAUGGGUAUCUAUACAUGUCCAUGUCAGGGUUUCUUGCCUUCUUCUUUAAUAUUACCAGAUAUCUAAGGAGAAUCUUCAUUUUAUUUGGUUUUUGCAUUUCAGGUUCUGUUUUAUUUUAGGUUUAAGACUCUUAAUAUCUGGCCUCCUUAACAUCACAAGAAAUACAAGAAGUUCAAGAAGCUGACAUUUGCAAGACAAUAAAAAACUCAGGAGUCCCCUGUCUGGAAUUUAUAAUAAACAGCUGGAAAGCCAGAAGUGCUGACUUUUAAAAACGAUAUACCAAAUCAUGUGCCGUGGCAGAUGUGGACAGUCUUUUUCAUCUAAUGAUCAGAAGCCAUACAAAUGAAUAGAAGACAAUCAGAACCACGCUCUACAAUGCUGGAGGUAGAGGAGAGUUCUAUGAACAUCACAUUGCAAUUUGCCCAAAUGGAGUGUUGGAGGAGAAGUUGACAAUCAGCCUAGAAAAGUUCAUGAGGGGUCCUCAAAUUGUGGAACUAUGCCUUGACUUCAGAUCCACAUCCUGUGUGUUGUAUUUUCCCACGGGCUAAUGAUGUGCUAAUGGGACAGCAACAAAGUCAGCGGAGAAAACCAAUCAACAUCUGUGGACCUGCAAAUCUGGCCAACGGGUCUUUACAUGAGAGAAGAAAACCAAGGAUUGCAGGGUGUCUAGCGUUGACACCAAACUGAGCCAGAAACCUAAAACUCAGAUCCUGCAAGAGAAAAGGAUGUCUCCCCAGCUCCCUCCUGGCUUGUCUGAACGUGCAACUAUUUAUUUGCACAGAAGUCAGUGUUUUUUCUCCCUGGCUUUUGUCAUGAGUUAAAACUUCCAGAAAUAAAACAUGCACCCCCAUUUUACUCUGGCCUCUUUU
Molecule: non-coding RNA, 2772 nt
Organism: Python bivittatus (Burmese python)
Lineage: Eukaryota; Metazoa; Chordata; Lepidosauria; Squamata; Pythonidae
Source: RefSeq, a predicted model, not a curated record